GUGUUUGCCAGGCAGGUAGAAGAGGACCAGACUUGGCAGAGGGCAGUAGGCAGUAGGCCCUGGGCUGGGCCUGGCAGACCUGGCUGCUGUCUCCAGGUUCUGCCUAGGGUGCCUGCUAGCCCACUCUCCUCCUCUGAGCCAAUCAUAGAAUAAACAGGGAAGAAAUCAAAAGGUGGCUUAGCACAGCUGGACAGGGAGGCAGAGGACAUAUAGUGCCACUCCAGGGACAGGAAGGAAGACAGUCAAUACCUCUUGCCUGACACCAGGUAGAUCUCAUUGCUAGAGCUCUGGGGGACUGACAUAAUAACCUCUGACCCUCUCAGAGGGACAACAGGGACAAGGUGAGGCAGGGAAAGGCUGGGAGACAAGUCCUGGCACCACCAAGCCAUAUCCCACAAAUAGCAAUGAGAUAAUACAGAAUAGGCCAGAACCAACCCGGAAAGAGACGCACGGUGAAAAUUCAGCACAACCUGAGGGAAAGCUAGGAUCUCUAGCCGUGCGGUGCUUCAUGGACUCUUCCCUGCAGGUACCAGCCAGAUCAUCAUAUACCAGAGGCCAUCUCUCCUGAGUCUUUUGAGGAAGAGCAAAGAUGAUAUGUGACUCCAAGGCUGAGGGUCUGGUUGCGUCACGGUGGUAGGAGAUGCACCCCCUUUCCGCACUUCCUGUUUUCUGCUAAUGAUUUCCAGGUAUAUCUUGUCCAGCUCAUAGCCCACAACCCAGGAAGGAGGCCCAUGUCUUCCGCUGCCCGCUGAGCCUCAGGAGUUAAUAAUUAAGGGUUUAAGAAGAUAGAAGCGUCUGGGAGGCCCCGCCCGGCCGCUGUGCUGCUGCUCCUGAGAGAUAGCAAAGGUUAGUGUG
This 855-nucleotide long non-coding RNA is filed under the name Rattus norvegicus (Norway rat). Its description in RNAcentral is "long non-coding RNA NONRATT001535". Lineage: Eukaryota; Metazoa; Chordata; Mammalia; Rodentia; Muridae. The record is from RNAcentral.